Coturnix japonica (Japanese quail) is the source of this 1185-nucleotide non-coding RNA. Lineage: Eukaryota; Metazoa; Chordata; Aves; Galliformes; Phasianidae. The record is from RefSeq and is a predicted model, not a curated record.
AGGAGCUGGAAGUUUAGAAACAACCAAAAUGAAAGAAAAGGAUCAACGAAACAAAGUCGUGUUGGUUACCAAACACCUCUCUGACAGUGGUCACGAUUCAGGCAUUAGAUGAAGCUUUCUUUCAUGGUCUCAGUUCUCAGAUUCAUCCUCCAGAUGAUGCUGAUAUAGUUACGGUUACAACACUGUGGAUGAAUCCUGCAUUUCUUUUUGCCUUUUUUUCUGAAGCAUUUCGUUUUAUCAUCUCUGAUAUAAUGAACCUCCACCAGUGGCUGACCACAUAGUGAAGCUGCCACAUCUCUAUAGGCUGAGUACUGCUCCUGGAGUGGACCAGACCUGCUUCUUUGAUAUUAUUCUUGUAUUCAGCAUCCAGGACAGGACAGUGCUGGAAUGAAGCUUGGUUUGCCAGGGAAGACAGAUGUAACUGAGGAAACAGCAGUGACACUUCGCCAUCCCCUGUGCUCUGAUGCCCACGACCUGCAGUCAGCAUUGAAGGGACCUGGGGAGGGCUCCAGGUGAGAACCCCUAUGUGCCUUCCACAUAAAUGCCAAAGGACAGAAUGGUGACUUUCCCAUUAGGGAAGUAAGGAAGAAAAGCAGCUGCCUGUCCAAGGAUGGAGAAUAGCAAUAAAGCGCUUUGUAUGAAGAAAGAAUUGAUGUUUGAUGAAAUGGAAUCCUUUCUGUAUACACACAGAGAUCAGCACGAUUGUUGGUGAAAGAGCCAUUUGCAGGGACUUGGGAAAGGAUCUCAAGGGAUGGGGAAGAGCUCUUCCCAAAAGCAGAGUGGAUCUGGAGAUUACAGACCACUCAUUAAUAUAGACUGCCUCUAUACAAUUAACUUCUUUUCUCCCCUAAGUUAAACUCACUGCACAGGAAUCUGACCAAAUCAGAAAUGAGCUGCCCAUUUGUGAUCUAUGAAGUAAUGUCAGGAAAUCUUUCUUCCUCUACCAACUCAAUGGCCAGAGAUGACCCAGAUGGAAAACCUCCAUUCUAAGGCACAUCACUGUGGUGUGAGUGCCCCAGGUAUGCUGUCAGCUUUCUCCCUAUGAGACCACACAUCCCGCAGCCUCUUUUGUUCUCCUCCCAGAUUGCAGCUUUUCAGGUCUUCAGUGCUAGUUUUGGUUGCUGGACUGCAGACUGCUAAGGGUUGUCUGUGCCAGGACAUGCACACAGAUCAUCUUUGCUUGGA